UCGGUUGUGCUUUUGUUAACAAUUAAAAUCUUGAAAGGAGGUUUUGCUAGUUGAAAGUUGUAUGAUGCACAAGAGUGUUUGCAUAAAGAAAGGUCUACCGUGUGAAGUUCCGGAGAUUCUCCGAUCUCCUAAUCCGGCAAAGAAGAGCUCUUUGUGAACCACCUUCCUCCUCCUUACUGCCAUGCCAUUUCCUUGUAACAUAUUCUCUCCCGUCAUACUAGAUCCAUUGUCAUUAAUCUACACAGGGCCAUGACAGGAUUCCACUACUUAGCCAUCACGACUGAAAGUAACCAGGGUUUGUGAAGUCACAGCAGUGGCUUCUGCCGAGUAAAGGCGAUGCUUGUCAUUACGGUCACACCAGUUCCUAACACAGCAAUGUAGCACCAUGAACAAAUCAUAAAUGCAGGAUAAGUGCAACCUGCACUUUGGCAGAAAAGAAAAGGAAUAGCAAUGAACACUUUGCCACAAAGGGAACAUAAAGGAAGAUAAAGAAAAGAAAGUGAUGUGGAAAACGCUUGGAGCCGACGAUCAUGAGGAACGAGAACGGCCAAGCAAAAGAGAUCUCAAGCCAGAAGUUCGGUGAGGCCGCUGGGAUUAUGGCCAACUCAAUCGAGUGAUGAUUUUCUGUUCUUCUUUGUUCUAUCUCAUCAAUCUUAACUAUCUUGUCAGCAUGUCUGUCUCAAAUGCUCCCUCUAGCUUGUGCCGAUGGUUAAAUUCAAUUUGCAGAAAUUCCUUAUCAUCCGUCUGGUGGUUCUCUGUCUAGUGUCUCCAUCUGCUCAUGUGUAAGCCGUACUGUUCAAGAAGCUUUACACGAGAAAUUGUGUGCCUUGAUGCAAGUCUACGGUUCUCUAAAGAAAAUGGAUGCAGUCUAAUGAAUUAAAUGGACCCAAAAACUUUUUGAAUUUUGUA
Nymphaea colorata (pocket water lily) is the source of this 909-nucleotide long non-coding RNA. RefSeq lists it as uncharacterized. The transcript is spliced from 2 exons. NCBI's taxonomy places the organism in Eukaryota, Viridiplantae, Streptophyta, Magnoliopsida, Nymphaeales, Nymphaeaceae. The record is from RefSeq and is a predicted model, not a curated record.